RNAcentral lists this ribosomal RNA (497 nucleotides) under uncultured bacterium. Its description in RNAcentral is "partial 16S ribosomal RNA". It matches the Rfam family "Bacterial small subunit ribosomal RNA", at positions 28 to 507 of the family's 1533-position model. The record is from RNAcentral.
GAUGAACGCUGGCGGCGUGCCUAAUACAUGCAAGUCGAGCGAACGGACGAGAAGCUUGCUUCUCUGAUGUUAGCGGCGGACGGGUGAGUAACACGUGGAUAACCUACCUAUAAGACUGGGAUAACUUCGGGAAACCGGAGCUAAUACCGGAUAAUAUUUUGAACCGCAUGGUUCAAAAGUGAAAGACGGUCUUGCUGUCACUUAUAGAUGGAUCCGCGCUGCAUUAGCUAGUUGGUAAGGUAACGGCUUACCAAGGCAACGAUGCAUAGCCGACCUGAGAGGGUGAUCGGCCACACUGGAACUGAGACACGGUCACGACUCCUACGGGAGGCAGCAGUAGGGAAUCUUCCGCAAUGGGCGAAAGCCUGACGGAGCAACGCCGCGUGAGUGAUGAAGGUCUUCGGAUCGUAAAACUCUGUUAUUAGGGAAGAACAUAUGUGUAAGUAACUGUGCACAUCUUGACGGUACCUAAUCAGAAAGCCACGGCUAACUACGUG